GAUGAACGCUAGCGACAGGCUUAACACAUGCAAGUCGAGGGGUAGCAGGGGAGUAGCAAUACUCCCGCUGGCGACCGGCGCACGGGUGAGUAACACGUAUGCAACCUGCCCUUGUCAGGGGGAUAAGCGGAAGAAAUUCCGUCUAAUACCGCAUAACGCUGCGGGGAGACAUCUCCCUGCAGCCAAAGAUUUAUCGGACAAGGAUGGGCAUGCGGCGCAUUAGCUUGUUGGCGGGGUAACGGCCCACCAAGGCGACGAUGCGUAGGGGUUCUGAGAGGAAGGUCCCCCACACUGGUACUGAGACACGGACCAGACUCCUACGGGAGGCAGCAGUGAGGAAUAUUGGUCAAUGGCCGGGAGGCUGAACCAGCCAAGUCGCGUGAGGGAAGACGGUCCUAUGGAUUGUAAACCUCUUUUGUCAGGGAGCAAAAACUGCCACGCGUGGCAGGAUGAGAGUACCUGAAGAAAAAGCAUCGGCUAACUCCGUGCCAGCAGCCGCGGUAAUACGGAGGAUGCGAGCGUUAUCCGGAUUUAUUGGGUUUAAAGGGUGCGUAGGCGGACAGUUAAGUCAGCGGUAAAAUUGAGAGGCUCAACCUCUUCCCGCCGUUGAAACUGAUUGUCUUGAGUGGGCGAGAAGUAUGCGGAAUGCGUGGUGUAGCGGUGAAAUGCAUAGAUAUCACGCAGAACUCCGAUUGCGAAGGCAGCAUACCGGCGCCCAACUGACGCUGAAGCACGAAAGCGUGGGUAUCGAACAGGAUUAGAUACCCUGGUAGUCCACGCAGUAAACGAUGAAUACUAAUUGUUCGGGUCGAGUGAGAUCUGAGUGAUACAGCGAAAGCGUUAAGUAUUCCACCUGGGGAGUACGCCGGCAACGGUGAAACUCAAAGGAAUUGACGGGGGCCCGCACAAGCGGAGGAACAUGUGGUUUAAUUCGAUGAUACGCGAGGAACCUUACCCGGGCUCAAACGACACAGGAAUGAUCUGAGAAAUCAGGCAGUCCUUCGGGACCUGUGUCGAGGUGCUGCAUGGUUGUCGUCAGCUCGUGCCGUGAGGUGUCGGCUUAAGUGCCAUAACGAGCGCAACCCCCAUCGACAGUUGCCAGCAGGUCAAGCUGGGCACUCUGUCGAGACUGCCGGCGCAAGCUGUGAGGAAGGCGGGGAUGACGUCAAAUCAGCACGGCCCUUACGUCCGGGGCGACACACGUGUUACAAUGGCAGGUACAGCGGGAAGCCACCUGGCGACAGGGAGCGGAACCCGAAAGCCUGUCUCAGUUCGGAUUGGAGUCUGCAACUCGACUCCAUGAAGCUGGAUUCGCUGGUAAUCGCGCAUCAGCCACGGCGCGGUGAAUACGUUCCCGGGCCU
Molecule: ribosomal RNA, 1362 nt
Filed under: uncultured bacterium
Lineage: Bacteria
Description: 16S ribosomal RNA
Rfam family: Bacterial small subunit ribosomal RNA
Source: RNAcentral